CGUGGGUAACCUGCCCAAGAGACUGGGAUAACACCUGGAAACAGAUGCUAAUACCGGAUAACAACACUAGACGCAUGUCUAGAGUUUAAAAGAUGGUUCUGCUAUCACUCUUGGAUGGACCUGCGGUGCAUUAGCUAGUUGGUAAGGUAACGGCUUACCAAGGCAAUGAUGCAUAGCCGAGUUGAGAGACUGAUCGGCCACAUUGGGACUGAGACGCGGCCCAAACUCCUACGGAAGGCAGCAG
RNAcentral lists this ribosomal RNA (244 nucleotides) under uncultured bacterium. RNAcentral describes it as "partial 16S ribosomal RNA". It matches the Rfam family "Bacterial small subunit ribosomal RNA", at positions 116 to 354 of the family's 1533-position model. The record is from RNAcentral.